Molecule: long non-coding RNA, 351 nt
Filed under: Mus pahari (shrew mouse)
Lineage: Eukaryota; Metazoa; Chordata; Mammalia; Rodentia; Muridae
Description: lncRNA (MGP_PahariEiJ_G0003668.1)
Source: RNAcentral
GGCUCAGGACGGACAGGUGGGGCCCCGCGGGCGGCUGCUCCCCGCACGGGGCUCGUUGGCGCCUGCGACGCGGGCGCUGCUCACCGCUCGGGCCAGAGGACAAAAGUCUGGAAACGCUUGGCCCCCAGAUCAAAUACCCAGCCCGUGAGGGCGGCGUCUUUAGGAGUCGCGGCGGACAAGUGGAGGGGAGCUGCAAAUGUGAAGAGUCACCCCCACAACCGUGGGAUUCUAAAUGAUGGAGUCCGUACUCUCACACAUUAUCAUGCCGGAAGUGUUGGGUCGGCCUCUUUAGGUGUUAAGCAGUUUAAUGAGCAAAUAACAAUACUUGGCAUCCCCUAGUCCCAGAUUGAU